UCCCUCAGUAAGGGCGACUGAAGCGGGAAGAGCUCAUUCUGUGAAUCUGUAUACUAUUUUUGGUAUACCGAGUUGUGGAAUAUAGAAGCACAUCAGUUCGAGUUCUGGUCUAAGUCUCUUGGAAAAGAGCAGCUUAGAGGGUGACACUCCCGUUCUUGGCUAGAACUCAAACUUUAGCAUGUGGUUUCGACGAGUCGAGUUGCUUGGGAUUGCAGCUCAAAGUUGGUGGUAAAUUCCAUCUAAAGCUAAAUAUCGGUGGGAGACCGAUAGCGUACAAGUACCGUGAGGGAAAGAUGCAAAGAACUUUGAAAAAAGAGUUAAAGAGUACCUGAAAUUGCUGAAAUGGAAGCGAAGGAAACCAGUGCCGUUCUAUACCAUUUUUCUGUUCUUGCUUGCGAGAAUAGCGCUGUGGUUUAGUACAGGCCAGCGUGAGUUUGAGCCGAAGGAAGCAGCUUUGCAGGAGGCAGCACAAUUUCUGUGCGAUUACUGCUUAGUUUUGCUUCGGCUUGGACUGAGGCUAGUCACUUGUGCUCGUGACGCUGGCGAAAUGGUUUUCUUUACCCCGUCUUGAAACACGGACCAAGGAGUCUAACAUAUGUGCGAGUAUAUGAGUGACAAACUCACGUGCGAAAUGAAAGUAACAGUGGUUGGACCUUUUGGGGCACAAUCCGCCGGCCACAAUCCUUCGGGAGAAAGGUCUGAGUGUGAGCAUACAUGUUGGGACCCGAAAGAUGGUGAACUAUGCCUGAAUAGGGUGAAGCCGCGGGAAACCACGGUGGAGGCUCGUAGCGGUUCUGACGUGCAAAUCGAUCGUCAAAUUUGGGUAUAGGGGCGAAAGACUAAUCGAACCAUCUAGUAGCUGGUUCCCUCCGAAAUUUCCCUCAGGAUAGCUGCAAUCGAAUGUCAAUUUUAUCAGGUAAAGCGAAUGAUUAGAGGAUUCUGGGGAGUAAUUCCCUAGACCUAUUCUCAAACUUUAAAUGGGUAAGAACUCGGGGUUGCUUAAUUGAACCCUGCGGUCGAAUGACGGUUGCUAGUGGGCCACACCGGGUAAGCAGAACUGG
RNAcentral lists this ribosomal RNA (1061 nucleotides) under Chaetoceros wighamii. RNAcentral's name for it is "eukaryotic LSU rRNA". It matches the Rfam family "Eukaryotic large subunit ribosomal RNA", at positions 76 to 1153 of the family's 3401-position model. The record is from RNAcentral. Lineage: Eukaryota; Bacillariophyta; Thalassiosirophyceae; Chaetocerotales; Chaetocerotaceae.